RNAcentral lists this ribosomal RNA (216 nucleotides) under uncultured bacterium. RNAcentral's name for it is "partial 16S ribosomal RNA". It matches the Rfam family "Bacterial small subunit ribosomal RNA", at positions 118 to 351 of the family's 1533-position model. The record is from RNAcentral.
UGGGAACGUGCCUUUCGGUUCGGGAUAACCCAGGGAAACUUGGGCUAAUACCGGAUACGCCCUUCGGGGGAAAGAUUCAUUGCCGAAAGAUCGGCCCGCGUCGGAUUAGCUAGUUGGUGGGGUAAAAGCCUACCAAGGCGACGAUCCGUAGCUGGUCUGAGAGGAUGACCAGCCACACUGGGACUGAGACACGGCCCAGACUCCUACGGGAGGCAG